Long non-coding RNA from Myotis davidii, 294 nucleotides. RefSeq lists it as uncharacterized. The record is from RefSeq and is a predicted model, not a curated record. NCBI's taxonomy places the organism in Eukaryota, Metazoa, Chordata, Mammalia, Chiroptera, Vespertilionidae. The transcript is spliced from 2 exons.
UAAUGUGAUUCUUUCCUUCCUUCCAGGUUUUGGAGUUUGAAUUGACUCCAGAAGACAUGAAAGCAAUUGAUGGCCUGAACAGAAAUUUCAGAUUUUUUAAAUUGCCAUUUGCUGUAGGUCACCCUUAUUAUCCAUUUUCUGAAGAAUAUUGACCAUCAACUACCCAUCAUGUGUGGAGAGGAUUUCUGCAUUUGGGGGAGGUGAUUAAAAGCAGUUCUGUAGUUUCAUGCUGCUUCUCUGUUUUAUUUUUAAAAAUCUUUUUAUUUUGUGAAAUAAUAAAGACUUCCAAAUGAA